RNAcentral lists this unclassified non-coding RNA (266 nucleotides) under Hevea brasiliensis (rubber tree). Lineage: Eukaryota; Viridiplantae; Streptophyta; Magnoliopsida; Malpighiales; Euphorbiaceae. The record is from RNAcentral.
GGAUCUGACCUUCCAGCUCCUUGUUCGUAGUGGCGGCGACCUGCUCGCUGUGGCCCUGAGGGAAGUAGACGAUGCGGGUGCCGACAUUGGGCAGGCAGGUGAGCGGGCCGGCGCAGGCGUGCCAGAGCUCUGAGUUGAGGGGCCUCUUCUCUCCGCCUCCAGGCGGCGGCUCGCCGAGGCCGGCGGCGGAGGGAUUCAUCUGGAGUGUGGAUUCAGCGGAGCUCUGUGUCCAUCGACGGCGAAGAAAUUGGUGCUGCUGUGGCCAG